AUUGAACGCUGGCGGCAUGCUUUACACAUGCAAGUCGAACGGCAGCAUGACCAAGCUUGCUUGGUUGAUGGCGAGUGGCGAACGGGUGAGUAACACAUCGGAACGUGCCCUGUAGUGGGGGAUAACCUACCGAAAGGUAGGCUAAUACCGCAUACGACCUGAGGGUAAAAGUGGGGGACCGCAAGGCCUCACGCUAUAGGAGCGGCCGAUGGAAGAUUAGCUAGUUGGUGAGGUAAAGGCCCACCAAGGCGACGAUCUUAGCGGGUCUGAGAGGACGAUCCGCCACACUGGGACUGAGACACGGCCCAGACUCCUACGGGAGGCAGCAGUGGGGAAUUUUGGACAAUGGGGGCAACCCUGAUCCAGCAAUGCCGCGUGAGUGAAGAAGGCCUUCGGGUUGUAAAGCUCUUUUGUUUGGGAAGAAAAAUCUGGUGUUAAUACCACUGGAUGCUGACGGUACCAAAAGAAUAAGCACCGGCUAACUACGUGCCAGCCGCCGCGGUAA
Molecule: ribosomal RNA, 505 nt
Filed under: uncultured bacterium
Lineage: Bacteria
Description: partial 16S ribosomal RNA
Rfam family: Bacterial small subunit ribosomal RNA
Source: RNAcentral